UACGUAGGGGGCAAGCGUUGUCCGGAUUUAUUGGGCGUAAAGCGCGCGUAGGCGGGAGGCCAAGUCCGCUGUGAAAUCGCCCGGCUCAACUGGGCGCGGUCGGUGGAAACUGGUCACCUGGAGGACGGUAGAGGCGAGUGGAAUUCCCGGUGUAGUGGUGAAAUGCGUAGAGAUCGGGAGGAACACCAGUGGCGAAGGCGGCUCGCUGGGCCGGCCCUGACGCUGAGGCGCGAAGGCGUGGGGAGCGAACGGG
Molecule: ribosomal RNA, 253 nt
Filed under: uncultured bacterium
Lineage: Bacteria
Description: partial 16S ribosomal RNA
Rfam family: Bacterial small subunit ribosomal RNA
Source: RNAcentral